RNAcentral lists this long non-coding RNA (822 nucleotides) under Setaria viridis. Its description in RNAcentral is "long non-coding RNA (SVIR_LNC007088)". Lineage: Eukaryota; Viridiplantae; Streptophyta; Magnoliopsida; Poales; Poaceae. The record is from RNAcentral.
AUGCUUGAUAAUCAUAUGCUGAAUGCCGCCGGCUUGAUUCUCAUGCCAGCCUCAGCAGAACGACAGGUUCAAAUCCGGUCAAUGCCCUGCUGAACUUCAGUUGUGGCGUUGUGUGUGCUGCCUGACGAUCUUCAAGCCUGACACGUCUAUGCAUAAGCACAUCUUUCUUCUCUUCAAGAGCAGCUCAAUCCUCGCCGGCUACUCGGAUCCCUUGCUGCUGACUGCUCGCCAUGAUUUUAAUGGCAUGGCUCAAACGAUGGCAACUUCUAUUGACCUCCCUGUAACGCCCCCGCGCGUGCUGUGUGACGGCACACGUACCUGAUUGGCGUUGAUCUCUUUGGUGUCCUGGUUUAGAGGUGUCCAUUUGGUUUCAUGUGGUACUCUGUCAAUGCCUAGAGAGAUACACGGUUAAUGUGGAGAUCAUCUUUCUUUUUAGAACGUGGAAAUUUUUAUUGCUCAAAAUCAAAUCGAUUUCCUUUUUCUGCCUACUAUGUUUAUACUGCCCUUGAAUUGAACUUUCUACACAACGUCAUAAUGUAAUAAGGAUCUGGGUGUUUAGUUCCCCGUACAUAUAGGUGCCCGUUAUACUUCUUGCCAAUUAGGACAACAGAGUCUACUUCCUAUUUAAUUACUCCCUCCAUUCUCUUUUUAGGGUUAUUUCCACAUCUGAAAAAUUCACUUUUGAUAUUCCUAUUUCAAUCCAAAUGUCCAUCCAUUUAAUAGCUAUCUAGUGUUUAACGUGCGACCCUUCAUUCUUCCACGGGGGAUUGGCUACGUGGGUAUCAAGAAGCCGGAGCCUUAAUGAAUUGCUCGUCUACGAGG